This 240-nucleotide unclassified non-coding RNA is filed under the name soil metagenome. RNAcentral's name for it is "partial contains 5.8S ribosomal RNA, internal transcribed spacer 2, and large subunit ribosomal RNA". The record is from RNAcentral.
AACCUAGCACACCUGCGGUGUGUACCUGCGGAAGGAUCAUUAACCUUUCAAAUCAGGGUGCGGCGCGGCCCCCGAGGAGCGGAAACAAUCCUUGGGAGGUAUGCGGGGGCUUCGAGCCCCCCAUUUACGCACGCACGACUGCCAUCCUUACUUUACGAGCACCUUCCGUUCUCCCUCGGCGGGGCAACCUGCCGUUGGAACCGAAUAAACUCUUUUUGCAUCUAGCAUUACCUGUUCCGA